UUAAAUGUUGUAAAAUAUGUAUAUUUUGUUCGAGCAACACAGUGUGUGUAAAGCUUGAAGGUGACAUGUGAAGAAAGUUAUGCUGGUAAAAAAUGUGAUGUCUGGAUGAAGAAGAGGAAGGAAAAUUCUUUGUGUAGUUGGUGCGAUGCUAGAGUUAAGAGGAAGUGUGAGUGAGAAAAAAUAGGUAUGUGGGAGAUAAAUAUAAGGAGAAAACAAUUUUUAUUUUACCAUAUUCAGAAGGUUAGUUUAAGAAUUUAAAAAAGUUUGGAUAUGCACAAAGAAAACUAGGAGGUGCACAUAGAAAACCCCAAGUUACAAAAGCAAAAGGCUCAAUUUCUCUUUUAUAAAAAGGAAACGCUAUAAAAAAGAUGCCGAAAUGGGGAAAACUAUUAAAAAAAUUUGAAACAGUUUUGGAAAUGUUAAAGGAAAGAACAUUAGUUCUAUUUUAUUUUUAGUUUAGGAAACUAGUUAAAAAUAAAU
RNAcentral lists this long non-coding RNA (480 nucleotides) under Vigna radiata. RNAcentral describes it as "long non-coding RNA (VRAD_LNC018542)". Lineage: Eukaryota; Viridiplantae; Streptophyta; Magnoliopsida; Fabales; Fabaceae. The record is from RNAcentral.